Molecule: ribosomal RNA, 246 nt
Filed under: uncultured bacterium
Lineage: Bacteria
Description: partial 16S ribosomal RNA
Rfam family: Bacterial small subunit ribosomal RNA
Source: RNAcentral
AUACGAAGGGGGCUAGCGUUGUUCGGAAUUACUGGGCGUAAAGCGCACGUAGGCGGAUAUUUAAGUCAGGGGUGAAUCCCGCAGCUCAACUGCGGAACUGCCUUUGAUACUGGGUAUCUCGAGUAUGGAAGAGGUGAGUGGAAUUCCGAGUGUAGAGGUGAAAUUCGUAGAUAUUCGGAGGAACACCAGUGGCGAAGGCGGCUCACUGGUCCAUUACUGACGCUGAGGUGCGAAAGCGUGGGGAGC